RNAcentral lists this ribosomal RNA (287 nucleotides) under Manga melanodonta. RNAcentral's name for it is "partial 16S large subunit ribosomal RNA". Lineage: Eukaryota; Metazoa; Arthropoda; Insecta; Lepidoptera; Noctuidae. The record is from RNAcentral.
AUAAUUUAAAAAGACGAGAAGACCCUAUAGAGUUUUAUAGUUAAAGUAAUUAAUAUUAUUUGUUAAAUUAAAGUUGAAAUUAUUUUAUUUAUUAUAUUGGGGUGAUAAAAAAAUAUAUAUAACUUUUUUUUAAAUAAAAACAUUUAUAAGUGAUUAAUUGAUCCAAUAUUAUUGAUUAUAAGAAAAAAUUACCUUAGGGAUAACAGCGUAAUUUUUUUUUUUAGUUCAUAUAAUAAAAAGAGUUUGCGACCUCGAUGUUGGAUUAAGAUAAAAUUUAAAUGCAGAAG